Molecule: ribosomal RNA, 484 nt
Filed under: uncultured bacterium
Lineage: Bacteria
Description: partial 16S ribosomal RNA
Rfam family: Bacterial small subunit ribosomal RNA
Source: RNAcentral
GACGAACGCUGGCGGCGUGCUUAACACAUGCAAGUCGAACGAUGAAGCCGGAGCUUGCUCUGGUGAAUUAGUGGCGAACGGGUGAGUAACACGUGAGUAACCUGCCCUUGACUCUGGGAUAACUGCGGGAAACUGUAGCUAAUACCGGAUACGACCCUCGGAGGCAUCCACUGGGGGUGGAAAGAAUUUCGGUCAAGGAUGGACUCGCGGCCUAUCAGCUAGUUGGUGAGGUAACGGCUCACCAAGGCGACGACGGGUAGCCGGCCUGAGAGGGUGAUCGGCCACACUGGGACUGAGACACGGCCCAGACUCCUACGGGAGGCAGCAGUGGGGAAUAUUGCACAAUGGGCGCAAGCCUGAUGCAGCAACGCCGCGUGAGGGAUGACGGCCUUCGGGUUGUAAACCUCUUUUAGUAGGGAAGAAGCGAAAGUGACGGUACCUGCAGAAAAGGCACCGGCUAACUACGUGCCAGCAGCCGCGGUAA